Molecule: ribosomal RNA, 2532 nt
Filed under: Shigella sonnei
Lineage: Bacteria; Pseudomonadati; Pseudomonadota; Gammaproteobacteria; Enterobacterales; Enterobacteriaceae
Description: partial 23S ribosomal RNA
Rfam family: Bacterial large subunit ribosomal RNA
Source: RNAcentral
CUCGAUGAGUAGGGCGGGACACGUGGUAUCCUGUCUGAAUAUGGGGGGCCCAUCCUCCAAGGCUAAAUACUCCUGACUGACCGAUAGUGAACCAGUACCGUGAGGGAAAGGCGAAAAGAACCCCGGCGAGGGGAGUGAAAAAGAACCUGAAACCGUGUACGUACAAGCAGUGGGAGCACGCUUAGGCGUGUGACUGCGUACCUUUUGUAUAAUGGGUCAGCGACUUAUAUUCUGUAGCAAGGUUAACCGAAUAGGGGAGCCGAAGGGAAACCGAGUCUUAACUGGGCGUUAAGUUGCAGGGUAUAGACCCGAAACCCGGUGAUCUAGCCAUGGGCAGGUUGAAGGUUGGGUAACACUAACUGGAGGACCGAACCGACUAAUGUUGAAAAAUUAGCGGAUGACUUGUGGCUGGGGGUGAAAGGCCAAUCAAACCGGGAGAUAGCUGGUUCUCCCCGAAAGCUAUUUAGGUAGCGCCUCGUGAAUUCAUCUCCGGGGGUAGAGCACUGUUUCGGCAAGGGGGUCAUCCCGACUUACCAACCCGAUGCAAACUGCGAAUACCGGAGAAUGUUAUCACGGGAGACACACGGCGGGUGCUAACGUCCGUCGUGAAGAGGGAAACAACCCAGACCGCCAGCUAAGGUCCCAAAGUCAUGGUUAAGUGGGAAACGAUGUGGGAAGGCCCAGACAGCCAGGAUGUUGGCUUAGAAGCAGCCAUCAUUUAAAGAAAGCGUAAUAGCUCACUGGUCGAGUCGGCCUGCGCGGAAGAUGUAACGGGGCUAAACCAUGCACCGAAGCUGCGGCAGCGACGCUUAUGCGUUGUUGGGUAGGGGAGCGUUCUGUAAGCCUGCGAAGGUGUGCUGUGAGGCAUGCUGGAGGUAUCAGAAGUGCGAAUGCUGACAUAAGUAACGAUAAAGCGGGUGAAAAGCCCGCUCGCCGGAAGACCAAGGGUUCCUGUCCAACGUUAAUCGGGGCAGGGUGAGUCGACCCCUAAGGCGAGGCCGAAAGGCGUAGUCGAUGGGAAACAGGUUAAUAUUCCUGUACUUGGUGUUACUGCGAAGGGGGGACGGAGAAGGCUAUGUUGGCCGGGCGACGGUUGUCCCGGUUUAAGCGUGUAGGCUGGUUUUCCAGGCAAAUCCGGAAAAUCAAGGCUGAGGCGUGAUGACGAGGCACUACGGUGCUGAAGCAACAAAUGCCCUGCUUCCAGGAAAAGCCUCUAAGCAUCAGGUAACAUCAAAUCGUACCCCAAACCGACACAGGUGGUCAGGUAGAGAAUACCAAGGCGCUUGAGAGAACUCGGGUGAAGGAACUAGGCAAAAUGGUGCCGUAACUUCGGGAGAAGGCACGCUGAUAUGUAGGUGAAGUCCCUUGCGGAUGGAGCUGAAAUCAGUCGAAGAUACCAGCUGGCUGCAACUGUUUAUUAAAAACACAGCACUGUGCAAACACGAAAGUGGACGUAUACGGUGUGACGCCUGCCCGGUGCCGGAAGGUUAAUUGAUGGGGUCAGCGCAAGCGAAGCUCUUGAUCGAAGCCCCGGUAAACGGCGGCCGUAACUAUAACGGUCCUAAGGUAGCGAAAUUCCUUGUCGGGUAAGUUCCGACCUGCACGAAUGGCGUAAUGAUGGCCAGGCUGUCUCCACCCGAGACUCAGUGAAAUUGAACUCGCUGUGAAGAUGCAGUGUACCCGCGGCAAGACGGAAAGACCCCGUGAACCUUUACUAUAGCUUGACACUGAACAUUGAGCCUUGAUGUGUAGGAUAGGUGGGAGGCUUUGAAGUGUGGACGCCAGUCUGCAUGGAGCCGGCCUUGAAAUACCACCCUUUAAUGUUUGAUGUUCUAACGUGGACCCGUGAUCCGGGUUGCGGACAGUGUCUGGUGGGUAGUUUGACUGGGGCGGUCUCCUCCUAAAGAGUAACGGAGGAGCACGAAGGUUGGCUAAUCCUGGUCGGACAUCAGGAGGUUAGUGCAAUGGCAUAAGCCAGCUUGACUGCGAGCGUGACGGCGCGAGCAGGUGCGAAAGCAGGUCAUAGUGAUCCGGUGGUUCUGAAUGGAAGGGCCAUCGCUCAACGGAUAAAAGGUACUCCGGGGAUAACAGGCUGAUACCGCCCAAGAGUUCAUAUCGACGGCGGUGUUUGGCACCUCGAUGUCGGCUCAUCACAUCCUGGGGCUGAAGUAGGUCCCAAGGGUAUGGCUGUUCGCCAUUUAAAGUGGUACGCGAGCUGGGUUUAGAACGUCGUGAGACAGUUCGGUCCCUAUCUGCCGUGGGCGCUGGAGAACUGAGGGGGGCUGCUCCUAGUACGAGAGGACCGGAGUGGACGCAUCACUGGUGUUCGGGUUGUCAUGCCAAUGGCACUGCCCGGUAGCUAAAUGCGGAAGAGAUAAGUGCUGAAAGCAUCUAAGCACGAAACUUGCCCCGAGAUGAGUUCUCCCUGACCCUUUAAGGGUCCUGAAGGAACGUUGAAGACGACGACGUUGAUAGGCCGGGUGUGUAAGCGCAGCGAUGCGUUGAGCUAACCGGUACUAAUGAACCGUGAGG